GUCCCGGUGGCGCAAUUGGAUAGCGCGUCGGCCUCCGAAGCCGAAGGUUAGUGGUUCGAAUCCACUCCGGGAUA
RNAcentral lists this transfer RNA (74 nucleotides) under Planctomycetaceae bacterium. RNAcentral describes it as "tRNA-Arg". It matches the Rfam family "tRNA". Rfam says of the family: Transfer RNA (tRNA) molecules are approximately 80 nucleotides in length. Their secondary structure includes four short double-helical elements and three loops (D, anti-codon, and T loops). Further hydrogen bonds mediate the characteristic L-shaped molecular structure. tRNAs have two regions of fundamental functional importance: the anti-codon, which is responsible for specific mRNA codon recognition, and the 3' end, to which the tRNAs corresponding amino acid is attached (by aminoacyl-tRNA synthetases). tRNAs cope with the degeneracy of the genetic code in two manners: having more than one tRNA (with a specific anti-codon) for a particular amino acid; and 'wobble' base-pairing, i.e. permitting non-standard base-pairing at the 3rd anti-codon position. Lineage: Bacteria; Pseudomonadati; Planctomycetota; Planctomycetia; Planctomycetales; Planctomycetaceae. The record is from RNAcentral. RNAcentral also lists the same sequence under 2 other names.